CAGUGGCGUGCAAAACCCUGCCUUUAGCUUUUGGAACAAACAACAUUCAUAUGUGUAGAGUGUUAUUUUUUACUACACGAGUAUAUGAUGGCAUAAACAUACGCGUCUAUAGUUCCUGAGACAUUCACUUGACGCGACUAACACAAAUAAUGACUUUUCAUCGAUACCAUGCAGUGUCAAGUGACAGAUGCCAUCAGAUAGAGACAACAUGAACAGUCAGAAAGACAGCUUCACCUGAUUGGCCAGCUCUGCACACAAGCCUAGAUUGACGACUGGCUCAAUCAGAAGUCCUGCCAGGUGUUUCAGGAUUUCAGAAUGACAUUAGCACUGACUUUGCUACUUGAAAAGGAACAAAGAGAACAGAGCGCAGGAGACCACAGAAGGCUUGAGACAUUGUGAAAUGGGCUGUCACAUAAGGUUCUCAUCCUUACAAGACAAAUUCUUGAACUGAUGGCAACAACUCCUUAAUGGCAUCAGUUUCACCCGCAUUAAUUACUCUCUGUAUCUGUGAGUAAUUCACUCAAAAUGCCUCUGUAAUAUGAUCUGUAAUAUAUAAUUUGGAAGUAUUGGGUAUAUUUAUACAAUCAAUAAAGUUAUUUUUUAUCUUU
Molecule: long non-coding RNA, 608 nt
Organism: Haliotis rubra (blacklip abalone)
Lineage: Eukaryota; Metazoa; Mollusca; Gastropoda; Lepetellida; Haliotidae
Exons: 3
Source: RefSeq, a predicted model, not a curated record